RNAcentral lists this ribosomal RNA (563 nucleotides) under uncultured archaeon. RNAcentral's name for it is "bacterial SSU rRNA". It matches the Rfam family "Archaeal small subunit ribosomal RNA", at positions 312 to 879 of the family's 1478-position model. The record is from RNAcentral.
CGCGAUUCGCCCUUCGGGGUGCAGCAGGCGCGAAAACUUUGCAAUGCGGGAAACCGUGACAAGGGAACUCUGAGUGCCCGUUAAAUCGGGCUGUCCAUCGGUUUAAAUAACCGGUGAAGAAAGGGCCGGGCAAGACCGGUGCCAGCCGCCGCGGUAAUACCGGCGGCUCGAGUGGUGGCCACUAUUACUGGGCUUAAAGCGUUCGUAGCUGGUUUGUUAAGUCUCUGGGGAAAUCUUCCGGCUUAACCGGAAGGCGUCUCAGGGAUACUGGCAGACUAGGGACCGGGAGAGGUGAGAGGUACUCCAGGGGUAGGAGUGAAAUCCUGUAAUCCUUAGGGGACCACCUGUGGCGAAGGCGUCUCACCAGAACGGCUCCGACAGUGAGGGACGAAAGCUGGGGGAGCAAACCGGAUUAGAUACCCGGGUAGUCCCAGCUGUAAACGAUGCGCGUUAGGUGUAUCGGUGACCACGAGUCACCGAGGUGCCGAAGAGAAAUCGUGAAACGUGCCGCCUGGGAAGUACGGUCGCAAGGCUGAAACUUAAAGGAAUUGGCGGGGGAGCAC